AGUGAACGCUGGCGGUAGGCCUAACACAUGCAAGUCGAACGGCAGCACAGUAAGAGCUUGCUCUUACGGGUGGCGAGUGGCGGACGGGUGAGGAAUACAUCGGAAUCUACUUUUUCGUGGGGGAUAACGUAGGGAAACUUACGCUAAUACCGCAUACGACCUACGGGUGAAAGCAGGGGAUCUUCGGACCUUGCGCGAUUGAAUGAGCCGAUGUCGGAUUAGCUAGUUGGCGGGGUAAAGGCCCACCAAGGCGACGAUCCGUAGCUGGUCUGAGAGGAUGAGCGGCCACACAGGAACUGAGAGACGGUCCAGAAUCCUACGGGAGGCAGCAGUGGGGAAUGUUGGACAAUGGGGGCAAGCCUGAACCAGCCAUGCCGCGUGGGUGAAGAAGGCCUUCGGGUUGGAAAGCCCUUUUGUUGGGAAAGAAAAGCAGCAGGUUAAUACCCCGCUGUUCUGACGGUACCCAAAGAAGAAGCACCGGCUAACUUCGU
RNAcentral lists this ribosomal RNA (491 nucleotides) under uncultured bacterium. RNAcentral's name for it is "partial 16S ribosomal RNA". It matches the Rfam family "Bacterial small subunit ribosomal RNA", at positions 29 to 506 of the family's 1533-position model. The record is from RNAcentral.